This 69-nucleotide transfer RNA is filed under the name Ixodes scapularis (black-legged tick). The stretch from base 6 to 63 matches the Rfam family "tRNA", at positions 8 to 63 of the family's 71-position model. From Rfam's summary of the family: Transfer RNA (tRNA) molecules are approximately 80 nucleotides in length. Their secondary structure includes four short double-helical elements and three loops (D, anti-codon, and T loops). Lineage: Eukaryota; Metazoa; Arthropoda; Arachnida; Ixodida; Ixodidae. The record is from Rfam by way of RNAcentral.
CUGGCUAGCUUAGUUGGUAGAGCGCUCCACUGGAAAUGGAGAGGUUCCUUGUUCAAUACUAGGACCAGA